This 85-nucleotide transfer RNA is filed under the name Candidatus Curtissbacteria bacterium RIFCSPHIGHO2_02_FULL_40_16b. RNAcentral describes it as "tRNA-Leu". It matches the Rfam family "tRNA". Rfam says of the family: Transfer RNA (tRNA) molecules are approximately 80 nucleotides in length. Their secondary structure includes four short double-helical elements and three loops (D, anti-codon, and T loops). RNAcentral also lists the same sequence under 2 other names. Lineage: Bacteria; Candidatus Curtissiibacteriota. The record is from RNAcentral.
GGCCUGGUGGUGAAACCGGUAUACACGUCAGACUUAAAAUCUGAUGGCUGAAUAAGCCGUGUGGGUUCGAAUCCCACCCAGGCCA